UGGGGAAUAUUGCACAAUGGAGGAAACUCUGAUGCAGCGACGCCGCGUGAAGGAUGAAGUAUUUCGGUACGUAAACUUCUAUCAGCAGGGAAGAAAAUGACGGUACCUGACUAAGAAGCCCCGGCUAACUACGUGCCAGCAGCCGCGGUAAUACGUAGGGGGCAAGCGUAUCCGGAUUUACUGGGUGUAAAGGGAGCGUAGACGGCACGGCAAGCCAGAUGUGAAAGCCCGGGGCUCAACCCCGGGACUGCAUUUGGAACUGCUGAGCUAGAGUGUCGGAGAGGCAAGUGGAAUUCCUAGUGUAACGGUGAAAUGCGUAGAUAUUAGGAGGAACACCAGUGGCGAAGGCGGCUUGCUGGACGAUGACUGACGUUGAGGCUCGAAAGCGUGGGGAGCAAACAGG
Molecule: ribosomal RNA, 403 nt
Filed under: Bacillota bacterium
Lineage: Bacteria; Bacillati; Bacillota
Description: Firmicutes bacterium partial 16S ribosomal RNA
Rfam family: Bacterial small subunit ribosomal RNA
Source: RNAcentral